UAAAUUUAUCAGUUUCUGUAAAGAAAAUUCAGCUGAGCAGUUUGGACAUGUUACAUUUAAAAAUAGCAAAAAAAUGUAUAUAUUUGUGUUUUAUAAAAACUUCAUGAUUUUGUACAUGAGUUUUUCUGAGAAUUUUUUUCCCUUUGCAUGUGAUUUAAUUGCAUGCUUCUAAACUUUCAAUUUAUGUCCAUUAAAUUUUCGGAGGGGAAAAAUUUAAUUAUUAAUUAAGAAUUUAAAAUGUUCUGAUAAUAUAUUUUGUUGAUUUUAUGUUUAUCUUCUGAAAGAAGAAUUUGUAAUGUUGCAUUAUAUUUAAUUUUAAAGGUGAAUGACAUUCAAAUAAUUAAUUGCUUUUAUUCUUCAUAUUGAAAUAUAAGUAUACUGAAUAUCUUUUUAUUUUUUUCGGUUAGAAGUUUAUAAAUUGCUUGUUUAAUUAGAAGAUUUGUUUAUAUUAUAACAAUAAGAAUAUGUGUUGUAUAUUUUAAUUUCAAUAAUUUUUUUUAAUGAAGGCAUAUUAUACUCAUUUUGUGUGAUAGGAAUUUGCCUCUUUAACACCAUAAAGCAACAUCAAAAAGUUUCCUGUUUAUCCUUUUCCUUAUUUUAAAAUAUAUUUAAAGGCUGAGGUUUAACAUGCUUGGUUGUUGAACAGUUGAAUUAAAAAAAAUAUUUUCAUAUUUACUUGUAUAGUUAAAAUGAUAAACAGGUAUGGAAAAAGUUCUUAGCAUACAACAGAUGAGAGUUUGUUCUUACAUUUCUACAUUCAUUAAAAAUGAUUUUUCAUUAAAUUUAGAAUUUGCUAUCAGAUGAAAUUCAAUCAAGGAAUUUAGAUAUUGUGUAUUUUUUAUAAAAAUACAUGAAUUCCAUCCAUAAUUAUUUUAUGUGUACAUUUUCAAAAAUUAUUCAUUAUUAUUAUCAACGUUGUUGGCUUUGUUUUUUCUUGCCCUCUGUGUCUGACUGAAACUUAUGAUGAGAUAUCUCAUUUCUUAUUACUUGAAAUCUACUAUUUUCGUGAGUCCUUCAGUUACACUUUUUAAAUAAUCACAUCACUAUUAGUUAGAUCUUGAAAAUUACUUAUUUUAUAACUUUUUUUUUUUUUCAUAAGGACAAGCAAGAAUCUCAUGACAGGACAUUUAAGCUAUAAGAUGAUAUUUAUAUUUAUUCUCUCAGUUUGAAACACAUUAAUAGCAUAUUUUAUUUUCUUCUGAAUAUAAAUUUGGGAAUAAAACAUGUUUGGAGAAUUACCUACUAACAUUGUUAUCAGUUCACUAGAUAACACAGAAAUUUGACUGUUUAACAACCUAUUUAUGUAAAUGCCUGAAAUGGAAAUUUUAAUUCUGAAUAGAUGGAAUUCCAUACUAUCAUAGUUCACUUUUCCCAUUUAUUAAUACAGUUCUUGAGUUUUUGAAUAAAAUUUAAUGUGGUUGCUUUUUACAUUCAGAAAUUCAGUUAUGACUUUAAUUUAUUCUCUUUUCACAUUUUUUAAUUCUAAAAUACAAGAUGAAUUUAUAUGUUGCUUUAAUAAAAAAAUUGGGGAACUAAAAAUUUAUUUGAAUUUUGGAAAGCAUAAUUUAAAAAUCUAAUCUGCAUUAAAUAUCGUAAGCAUUUUACUAUCUUGGAUAUUUAAAUAGACUUUCAAAUUUGUUUUAUACGUUUCUUUUAGUAAUGCUGCAUUAUUCUUUAAUCCUUUAUAUUAUAUUUUAUUUUAGGUGUACUAUCUUGCAAGACUUGUAAAAGGAUAUUCCAUCCAGGGCAUUCAUUAUUCAAACAUGAUUCGGAAUAUUGUGCACGCUGUUCUGCAGGAUAUGUUUGUCAAUUUUGCAGUUAUUUUACUGAUGUCAAAGCAAAUUUUUCAAGACAUAUGAUGAGACAUACUGGAGAACGUCCUUUUAAAUGCAAGUUGUGCGAUAAGGGAUUCAUAACAAAUUACCACUUAAAUUAUCAUCUCAGAACGCAUCACUAUUCUUUAUCAAUUAAAAAGUACAAUGUUCUUAUCAAAUGGAAGAUGGAGGACCUCCUUUCUUUUACAGAAUAAAAUUCAAAUUCAUCGCUUUCAUUGCUCACAAUGCUCUUAUUCAUCAGAUAGAAAAUACCACCUAUUGCGUCAUCAACUCAUUCAUUCUGGUGAACGCCCAUAUAAAUGUUCAUUCUGCGGCAAAGGAUUCACCACUAAACAAAACUGUGAAACUCAUAAAAUGACUCACCGCCAUGAUCAAGCUCAUUGUUGCUCAAUUUGUUCUGAACAGUUUUCAUCACCAAGAGCUCUACAAAGGCAUAUCUCAACCCAUUUACUGUGAUUUAAAAAUGCCAAAGUUUUACAUAAUGUAUUAUACUCUAAGGGAAUAUUUUAUAUUAUUUAUUUAAUGUUAUAUAGAAUGAUUUAUUUCAAUCAAAAAUGUUGUUGUAAUUGUUUUCAAAACUGCUAUGUUUACAGGGUAUAUUUACGACUGUGGAUACCACAAGAAAUAAAAUGUUAUAGAAUGAA
Long non-coding RNA from Argiope bruennichi, 2479 nucleotides. RefSeq lists it as uncharacterized. The transcript is spliced from 2 exons. The record is from RefSeq and is a predicted model, not a curated record. NCBI's taxonomy places the organism in Eukaryota, Metazoa, Arthropoda, Arachnida, Araneae, Araneidae.